This 460-nucleotide ribosomal RNA is filed under the name uncultured bacterium. RNAcentral describes it as "partial 16S ribosomal RNA". It matches the Rfam family "Bacterial small subunit ribosomal RNA", at positions 338 to 795 of the family's 1533-position model. The record is from RNAcentral.
CCUACGGGAGGCAGCAGUGAGGAAUAUUGGUCAAUGGCCGGAAGGCUGAACCAGCCAAGCCGCGUGAAGGACGAAGGUGCCAAGCAUUGUAAACUUCUUUUGUCAAGGGACAAAAUCAGGCUCGAGAGCCUGACCGAGGGUACUUGAAGAAAAAGCAUCGGCUAACUCCGUGCCAGCAGCCGCGGUAAUACGGAGGAUGCGAGCGUUAUCCGGAUUUACUGGGUGUAAAGGGAGCGUAGACGGCAGCGCAAGUCUGGAGUGAAAUGCUGGGGCCCAACCCUAGAAUUGCUCUGGAAACUGGGAAGCUGGAGUGCAGGAGAGGUAAGCGGAAGUCGUGGUGUAGCGGUGAAAUGCGUAGAGAUCAGGAAGAACUCCGACGGCGAAGGCGGCUUACUGGACUGUAACUGACGUUGAGGCUCGAAGGCGUGGGGAGCAAACAGGAUUAGAUACCCUUGUAGUC